Molecule: transfer RNA, 63 nt
Filed under: bovine gut metagenome
Rfam family: tRNA
About the family: Transfer RNA (tRNA) molecules are approximately 80 nucleotides in length.
Source: RNAcentral
CUGUAGUGUAAUGGUAACACGCCGGACUUUGACUCCGUCGUUGUAGGUUCGAGUCCUGCCAGG